UACGUAGGGGGCAAGCGUUGUCCGGAUUUAUUGGGCGUAAAGAGCGUGUAGGCGGCCAGGGAGGUCCGUUGUGAAAACUCGAGGCUCAACCUCGAGACGCCGAUGGAAACCCCCUGGCUAGAGUCCGGAAGAGGAGAAUGGAAUUCCUGGUGUAGCGGUGAAAUGCGCAGAUAUCAGGAUGAACACCCGUGGCUAAGGCGGUUCUCUAGUACGGUACUGACGCUGAGACGCGAAAGCGUGGGGAGCGAACAGG
This 253-nucleotide ribosomal RNA is filed under the name uncultured bacterium. RNAcentral's name for it is "partial 16S ribosomal RNA". It matches the Rfam family "Bacterial small subunit ribosomal RNA", at positions 524 to 776 of the family's 1533-position model. The record is from RNAcentral.